GAUCCUGGCUCAGGACGACGCUGGCGGCGUGCCUAACACAUGCAAGUCGAGCGGAGACAUACGACUGCGUGGAAGUUUUCGGACGGACACAAAGAUGUAUGUUUUAGCGGCGGACGGGUGAGUAACGCGUGAGCAACCUGUCCUUCACAGGGGGAUAACACAGCGAAAGUUGUACUAAUACCGCAUGAGACCACGGUGAGACAUCUCAGAGGGGUCAAAGGAGCAAUCCGGUGAAGGGUGGGCUCGCGUCCGAUUAGAUAGUUGGUGAGGUAACGGCCCACCAAGUCGACGAUCGGUAGCCGACCUGAGAGGGUGAUCGGCCACAUUGGGACUGAGACACGGCCCAAACUCCUACGGGAGGCAGCAGUGGGGAAUAUUGGGCAAUGGGGGGAACCCUGACCCAGCAACGCCGCGUGAGGGAAGAAGGUUUUCGGAUCGUAAACCUCUGUCCUUGGUGAAGAGUGAGAGACGGUAGCCAAGGAGGAAGCCCCGGCUAACUACGUGCC
This 506-nucleotide ribosomal RNA is filed under the name uncultured organism. RNAcentral describes it as "SSU rRNA". It matches the Rfam family "Bacterial small subunit ribosomal RNA", at positions 15 to 509 of the family's 1533-position model. The record is from RNAcentral.